RNAcentral lists this transfer RNA (52 nucleotides) under Toxascaris leonina. RNAcentral describes it as "tRNA-Ser". Lineage: Eukaryota; Metazoa; Nematoda; Chromadorea; Rhabditida; Ascarididae. The record is from RNAcentral.
AACAAAUUGUUUCAGGUCUUCUAAAUCUGUUUUGGGUGUAACCCGUUUGUUU